RNAcentral lists this non-coding RNA (31 nucleotides) under Rattus norvegicus (Norway rat). The record is from RNAcentral. Lineage: Eukaryota; Metazoa; Chordata; Mammalia; Rodentia; Muridae.
UAGCUGGUUUAAAAGGCCAGUGCCUAUUAAU